This 468-nucleotide ribosomal RNA is filed under the name uncultured bacterium. RNAcentral's name for it is "partial 16S ribosomal RNA". It matches the Rfam family "Bacterial small subunit ribosomal RNA", at positions 28 to 507 of the family's 1533-position model. The record is from RNAcentral.
GGCGAACGCUGGCGGCGUGCUUAACACAUGCAAGUCGAACGGAAAGGCCCUGCUUUUGUGGGGUGCUCGAGUGGCGAACGGGUGAGUAACACGUGAGUAACCUGCCCUUGACUUUGGGAUAACUUCAGGAAACUGGGGCUAAUACCGGAUAGGAGCUCCUGCUGCAUGGUGGGGGUUGGAAAGUUUCGGCGGUUGGGGAUGGACUCGCGGCUUAUCAGCUUGUUGGUGGGGUAGUGGCUUACCAAGGCUUUGACGGGUAGCCGGCCUGAGAGGGUGACCGGCCACAUUAGGACUGAGAUACAGCCGAGACUCCUACGGGAGGCAGCAGUGGGGUAUAUUGCACAAUUGGCGGAAGCCUAAUGCAGCAACGCCGCGUGCGGGAUGAAGGCCUUCGGGUUGUAGACCUCUUUCGCCUGGGACGAAGCGUAAGUGACGGUAAUGGGUAAAGAAGCACCGGCUAACUACGUG